RNAcentral lists this ribosomal RNA (277 nucleotides) under uncultured bacterium. RNAcentral describes it as "partial 16S ribosomal RNA". It matches the Rfam family "Bacterial small subunit ribosomal RNA", at positions 82 to 354 of the family's 1533-position model. The record is from RNAcentral.
CCGUUGCCGGCGACCGGCGCACGGGUGAGUAACACGUAUGCAACCUGCCCGUGGCAGGGGGAGUAAGCGGGGGAAACCCCGUCUAAUACCGCGUAACGCGGCCUAGGGACAUCCCAAGGCCGCCAAGGGAGCAAUCCCGGCCACGGAUGGGCAUGCGGCGCAUUAGCUAGUCGGCGGGGUAACGGCCCACCGAGGCGACGAUGCGUAGGGGUUCGUGAGAGGAAGGCCCCCCACACUGGUACUGAGACACGGACCAGACUCCUACGGGAGGCAGCAG